RNAcentral lists this ribosomal RNA (403 nucleotides) under uncultured bacterium. RNAcentral's name for it is "partial 16S ribosomal RNA". It matches the Rfam family "Bacterial small subunit ribosomal RNA", at positions 28 to 526 of the family's 1533-position model. The record is from RNAcentral.
GACGAACGCUGGCGGCGUGCCUAAUACAUGCAAGUCGAACGCAGUGGGGACAGGUGAGUAACACGUGGCUAACCUCCCAUCAGAGGUGAUAACACUUGGUAACAGGUGCUAAACUUAUACUGACGGAUGGUCGGGCGGUUCAGUAGCUAGUUGGUGAGGUAACGGCUCACCAAGGCCACGAUGUAUAGGCGACCGGAGGGUAUGAUCGGCCACACUGCGACUGAGACACGGCGCAGACUCCGACGGGAGGCAGCAGCAGGGAAUCUUCGGCAAGGGGCGAAAGUCUGACCGAGCAACGCCGCGUGAGUGAAGAAGGUUUUCGGAUCGUAAAACUCUGUUGUUAGAGAAGCGGUAUCUAACCAGAAAGCCACGGCUAACUACGUGCCAGCAGCCGCGGUAAUUC